RNAcentral lists this long non-coding RNA (212 nucleotides) under Jatropha curcas. Its description in RNAcentral is "long non-coding RNA (JCUR_LNC002393)". Lineage: Eukaryota; Viridiplantae; Streptophyta; Magnoliopsida; Malpighiales; Euphorbiaceae. The record is from RNAcentral.
UGCUGAGUUAAAUCCCUUUUCAAUGUAUCCCAAUUUAGGUAGGAUUUUUAGAUUUGACAAGGAUUGUAGUAGAUUUGCUUAAUCUCAAAAGAUAUGGACAACUAAUUCUUGUUACAAAGUAGUUAAGAUUGGAUUUGAUCACAAGAUUAUAGUGGAUAAACUUAAUCCCACAAUAUAAGGUCAAAUCCCCAAGAAUUAGGAACUAAUCCCAC